RNAcentral lists this ribosomal RNA (1101 nucleotides) under Triticum aestivum (bread wheat). RNAcentral describes it as "partial small subunit ribosomal RNA". Lineage: Eukaryota; Viridiplantae; Streptophyta; Magnoliopsida; Poales; Poaceae. The record is from RNAcentral.
AUGAUGCUGAGGAGGGUGGUGUCCGACCAGGCCGCGGCAGGGGAUGCGCUCGACGGCGCCGCAGGGGGGAGGCCCCGCGGCCCGGCCUUCUUCGCCGUGCCGCGGCUGCUCGUGGGGCUCGCGGCGGCCAAGCGCGGGACGCCGGACUGCGACUCUACCGCGCGCAGCCCCAAGUCGCCGCUCGAGCACAGGGCCUUCCCCGCGCUCGGCGGUUCGCUGCUCGGGUCGCCGCGGUCACCCAGGAGCUGGGACUCUCAGCGCGUCGGUCUGGGCGGUCUCGUCGACACCCUCGCCGAGCCCGCCGCCGACGCCAAGAAUCGCCUGCUCGGGUUCCAGAUGCGCCCAACGAAGCUGCAAUGCCUCGCCAAAUCCUACACCUCCCUGCCCAAAGACAUGCCGAAAGACUGCGGGCAUGCGCAACCGGAGCUCGGGGAGGUGGAGGUCGCCGGCGCCGGUGGCAUGUCCGUUCCUUGCACUAGGUUCUAUGGGGAUGUGAAGUCUGGUCCAGAGGUCAUCGUGUCCAGUGGUGCUCAGCUCGGCUUUAGUAACCACUCCGUCGACCGUGCCAAGUUCCCUGCUUCCGGGUCGCUGCCAGUGUCGAUUGGCGGACCACGCCGAUACAUCGGGUCCGUGUCGGCAAUGGAGGUCGAGCAGUCUGAGGACUACACCUGCAUCAUAGCUCACGGCUCCAAUCCGAAGACCACCCGCAUUUUUGGGGAUUGCAUCUUGGAGCCCUGCCCUGUUCUCAUGCCUGACUGGGAGAGCAAGGAGAUCGAUGUGGACAAGGAAGGAGCUGAGUUGUACUGGCUGGUCAAGGGCUCCCCCGACGCCGACGCCGCCGAGGAGUCCACGCGCUUCUGCUCGUCUUGCAAGAAGAACCUGAAUGGCAACGAAUCUUCCAUUUAUCGCGGUGAGAAUGCAUUUUGUGCUGGCAACUGCAGAAACCAAGCAGUCCUGAAUGAAGAUGAAGAUGAAGAUGAAGAUGAAGAUGAAGAUGAAGAUGAGAAAAAUCCUGCACUCUCCUCUCCCAGCUCAGCUAGUUCGACUUCGCAGUUUGACGACGAUGACAUCUUCAUCGAUGGGGUGGUCGUGCUGACAUGA